GCGUUUAGCUCAGCUGGUUCAGAGCAUCUGCCUUACAAGCAGAGGGUCGGCGGUUCGAAUCCGAAAAGGGCGUU
RNAcentral lists this transfer RNA (74 nucleotides) under Bacteroides sp. RNAcentral describes it as "tRNA-Val". The stretch from base 4 to 67 matches the Rfam family "tRNA", at positions 6 to 65 of the family's 71-position model. Rfam says of the family: Transfer RNA (tRNA) molecules are approximately 80 nucleotides in length. Their secondary structure includes four short double-helical elements and three loops (D, anti-codon, and T loops). Further hydrogen bonds mediate the characteristic L-shaped molecular structure. tRNAs have two regions of fundamental functional importance: the anti-codon, which is responsible for specific mRNA codon recognition, and the 3' end, to which the tRNAs corresponding amino acid is attached (by aminoacyl-tRNA synthetases). tRNAs cope with the degeneracy of the genetic code in two manners: having more than one tRNA (with a specific anti-codon) for a particular amino acid; and 'wobble' base-pairing, i.e. permitting non-standard base-pairing at the 3rd anti-codon position. Lineage: Bacteria; Pseudomonadati; Bacteroidota; Bacteroidia; Bacteroidales; Bacteroidaceae. The record is from RNAcentral.